ACGUCAGCCAGGGAUCCGGCAUCUCGGGCUCAGCUUCCUACCGAAACUCAAGAUCCCCAGUUACUCCGCAUAGAAACAUCUCUACGAAACCCAAGUUUCACUUCCCACCGUCGAUCUUACUGGUUCAUCGCACCGCCCAAGAGAAAGUCGAAAGAAACCGACGGUAGAUCAAGCACUCGCAUAUUUAUUCUAUGAAAUAAACACGUAUCUUAUCUUGUCUCCUUCAAACGGCUUAGGAGAUGAGAGUGAGACACCUGCCCUUCCCGCCAUUCCCCCACCGAGACCCCGGCUCGGGUCUCCACAAAUAAUUAACAAAAAAUAUUUAUUUCCUUUUCGCAGAAAAAAGUUAAACAAAAAGAGGAGAAAAUUCAAAUAAAGUUACGAAGUAUUUUUCUUCCGGCUUCCUGUGCGCGUAAUUUUCCUCUCAUUCAAACUCCACCUGGCGUCCUCUGCGCCAGUUUCCUCCUCCUCCUCCUCACCUCUUCGAGCGGCGAUAGCCAGCAAUGCCUCUGCUCCGCCCGGCGGUUCAUCAAUCCCUCGCCGGAUUCCUGCUUGUUGCCGCCUGGUGAACGGCGAGCCAUCGCCGGAUUUCGAGCCCGGCCGAUCUGGUGUUGUUUGGAUCCUAUCGUUCUUUGGGGAGCGAAAGCGAGAACCCCACCUUUUUGGAUUCUUUCUCAUUCUUUCAUUUGAAACGAUGGAUUCGCUGGAUGAAUGCAGCGGCGAACUGGGGUAGGAGGAGUCGCGAUAUAAAAAUAUCUAUUAUUUCUUGAGCAAUACGGGGGAUGAAUCUGGAAUUUGGAUCGAGACGUAAGGGGGAGGGGGAGAUUAAUCGAAAAUUGGGAUCCAGACGUAAGGGAGAGGGGGAGAUGAAUCGAGAUAUGGGAUCGAGACGUAAGGCAGAGGAGGAGAUGAAUAGAGAAUUGGGAUCGAGACGUAAGGGAGAGGGGGAGAUGAAUCGAGAAUUGGGAUCGAGACGUAAGGGAGAGGGGGAGAUGAAUCGAGAAUUGGGAUCGAGACGUAAGGGAGAGGGGGAGAUGAUGAAGAGGAAAGAAGAAAAGGCCAAGGUGAUGUAUGAGGGAUGGAUGGUUCGAUAUGGGCGUAGAAAGAUCGGGAAAUCUUAUAUCCACAUGCGGUAUUUCGUUCUUGAGCCCAGGCUUCUCGCCUAUUACAAGAGGAAGCCCCAAGAUAACAUGGUGCCACUCAAGACUCUUGUCAUAGAUGGGAAUUGCAGGGUCGAGGAUAGGGGCCUUAAAACACAUCAUGGGCAUAUGGUUUAUGUUUUAUGUGUCUACAACAAAAAAGAUAAGUAUCAUCGACUCACGUUGGCAGCAUUCAACAUCCAGGAGGCUUUGAUGUGGAAAGAAAAGAUUGAGCUUGUCAUUGAUCAGCAACAUGAUUCAUUGAGUGCUACUGGCAAUAAAGCCCUUGCUUCAUGUGAGUUUGGUGCAGACAAUAGAAGGAAUGCUUCUUCCUCUGAACAAGAAAGUGUGAAUAGCCUGGAAGAUGAAGAUGAGAGCAAUCGCACUUUACCACGGAGAAUGACAAUAGGACAUGGCCCUCCUGAUGCAAUACUUGACUGGACAUGCGAGCCUGAUCUAGGGCGUUCAAAUCAGAAUAUCAUCCAGCAAGUUUUCUCUAGAAAGCAUUGGCGAUUAAUCAAAUGCCAGAAUGGGUUACGCAUUUUUGAAGAACUUCUAGAAGUUGACUAUCUUCCAAGAAGCUUCAGUAGGGCGAUGAAGGCUGUUGGUGUGGUGGACGCCACAUGUGAAGCCAUAUUUGAGCUCGUAAUGAGUAUGGAUGAAACACGCUUUGAGUGGGAUUGCACUUUUCAGUAUGGUAGCCUAGUUGAGGAGGUUGAUGGACACACUGCCAUACUGUAUCAUAGACUGCAGCUGGACUGGUUCCCAAUGUUUGUGUGGCCCCGUGAUCUUUGUUAUGUGCGUUAUUGGCGACGUAAUGAUGAUGGAAGCUAUGUUGUGUUACUUCAAUCCAGAGCACAUGCUAACUGUGGUCUUCAGCCUGGAUUUGUGAGAGCUCAUGUUGAGAGUGGUGGAUUUAAGAUUUCACCCCUUAAAUCUCGCAAUGGGAGAUCUCGAACUCAAGUUCAGCAUCUUAUGCAAAUUGACCUCAAGGGUUGGGGUGUGGGCUAUAUUCCAUCAUUUCAGCAGCAUUGUUUACUUCAGAUGUUGAGUAGUGUUGCUGGGUUGCGUGAAUUCUUUUCUCAAACAGAUGAAAUACAUACAGUCCCAAGGAUUCCAGUCAUGGUCAAUAUGACUAAGUCUGUUUCUUCUAAGAAGGAUCAGAAAUCUCAGGAAAUUGAUGUUCAGCCUGGCCCACCAUUGGAUCCUGUGCUUGCUGGUAGCAGACACUCUAUUUUAUUAGAUGAAGACUCUGAUGAUGAUGAUGACUAUCAAAUUCCUGAAGCUAUACAAGAGGCAUAUGCAAUCAAGACUGAAAAUGAUGUUAUGCAAAUAGUUUUGGAUGAGGAGCCUUCAGAUCAAAUUGAUUUGUCCUGCUUUUCUGGCAAUCUACGUCGGGAUGACCGUGAUGGUAGUCGAGACUGCUGGAGUAUACCUGAUGGGAAGAACAUUAAAGUCCGUAGCAAAAAUUUUCUACAGGACAAGUCCAAGAUACCAGCAGGGAAGCAUCUCAUGGAACUUGCAGCAGUCGAUUGGUUGAAGGACACGAAAAGAAUGGACAAUGUUGCAAGACGAGCCGGUUGUGCGGCCCAAGUUGCCUCUGAGAAAGGACUGUUCUCAUUGAUCAUAAAUCUGCAAUCUUGCAGAUUCCAGGAUCAACCAAUUAUAGUAUGGUCUUCUAUUUUGUAAUGAAACAACUGGUACCAGGAUCAUUAUUGCAGCGUUUCAUUGAUGGUGAUGAUGAAUUUCGUAAUAGUAGGUUCAAGCUCAUCCCAUCUGUUCCUAAGGGCUCCUGGAUUGUGCGCCAAAGUGUUGGAAGCUCUCCUUGUUUAUUGGGGAAAGCAGUUGAUUGUACAUACAUUCGUAGACCGAAGUACUUGGAGAUAGAUGUUGACAUUGGUUCUUCUACAGUAGCCAAUGGAGUUUUGGGGCUUGUAUUAGGUGUAGUUACAUCAUUGGUUGUUGAUAUUGCAUUUCUUAUACAGGCAAACACUUCUGAAGAGCUUCCAGAGCAGCUUAUUGGUGCAGUCAGAGUGUCACAUCUUAAGCUGUCAUCUGCGAUGAUUUCAGGACUUGACAAUAGUCCUACUGAUUCAAUUCAUUAGUUGAUUUUAGACUCCACAUCACCCCUCCCCCACCACCAUCCACCCCCCCCCCCCAACCCAACCUGUUAUUCUUUCUAUUUUUUCCUAGGCCAUCAGCAAUGGCAUACAUGACCACGCAAAGGUUCAGUGCAGCAAUUUUCUCUACAUGUUACUUUACACUUUGAAGCUCAUGCAAGUCCUCCUUCCCUUCCUACGUUUGACCGAACAGGUUAAUUUUUCCUAUGAAGGUAUUCUGUAACAUAUGUUGAAGUACGACCCCUUCUUUUUCUGCUUGUGAUCUUUUCUUGUGAUUUCCUAGUUUAUCUUUAGCAAGUAUUCAGAAAAUACUGUGAUAUCCAUCUGGAUAUAAAAUUUUUACUUUAUGUUAUGCAGAGUCAUCUAUACAUUAUGUUUCUCAUCUACUUAAAUAUUCAAAGAGGCAUUGGUUGUCUCGCAUAUACCAUAAUAGAAGAGGCAUUUACUUC
Non-coding RNA from Phoenix dactylifera (date palm), 3708 nucleotides. NCBI's taxonomy places the organism in Eukaryota, Viridiplantae, Streptophyta, Magnoliopsida, Arecales, Arecaceae. The record is from RefSeq and is a predicted model, not a curated record.